This 394-nucleotide ribosomal RNA is filed under the name uncultured bacterium. RNAcentral describes it as "partial 16S ribosomal RNA". It matches the Rfam family "Bacterial small subunit ribosomal RNA", at positions 523 to 918 of the family's 1533-position model. The record is from RNAcentral.
AUACGUAGGGGGCUAGCGUUAUCCGGAAUUACUGGGCGUAAAGGGUGCGUAGGUGGUUUCUUAAGUCAGAAGUGAAAGGCUACGGCUCAACCGUAGUAAGCUUUUGAAACUAAGAGACUUGAGUGCAGGAGAGGAGAGUAGAAUUCCUAGUGUAGCGGUGAAAUGCGUAGAUAUUAGGAGGAAUACCAGUUACGAAGGCGGCUCUCGGGACUGUAACUGACACUGAGGCACGAAAGCGUGGGGAGCAAACAGGAUUAGAUACCCUGGUAGUCCACGCCGUAAACGAUGAGUACUAGCUGUCGGGGGUUACCCCCCUCGGUGGCGCAGCUAACGCAUUAAGUACUCCGCCUGGGAAGUACGCUCGCAAGAGUGAAACUCAAAUGAAUUGACGGGG